Molecule: ribosomal RNA, 254 nt
Filed under: uncultured bacterium
Lineage: Bacteria
Description: partial 16S ribosomal RNA
Rfam family: Bacterial small subunit ribosomal RNA
Source: RNAcentral
UACGUAGGGGGCGAGCGUUGUCCGGAUUUACUGGGCGUAAAGGGCGCGUAGGCGGCCACCGCAAGUCGACUGUGAAAUCUCCGGGCUUAACCCGGAAAGGUCAGCCGAUACUGCGGGGCUAGAGUGCAGAAGGGGCAACUGGAAUUCUCGGUGUAGCGGUGAAAUGCGUAGAUAUCGAGAGGAACACCUGCGGCGAAGGCGGGUUGCUGGGCUGACACUGACGCUGAGGAACGAAAGCCAGGGGAGCGAACGGG